UACGAAGGGGGCUAGCGUUGCUCGGAAUCACUGGGCGUAAAGCGCACGUAGGCGGACUCUUAAGUCAGGGGUGAAAUCCUGGAGCUCAACUCCAGAACUGCCUUUGAUACUGGAGAGCUUGAGUCCGGAAGAGGUGAGUGGAACUCCGAGUGUAGAGGUGAAAUUCGUAGAUAUUCGGAAGAACACCAGUGGCGAAGGCGGCUCACUGGUCCGGUACUGACGCUGAGGUGCGAAAGCGUGGGGAGCAAACAGG
Molecule: ribosomal RNA, 253 nt
Filed under: uncultured bacterium
Lineage: Bacteria
Description: partial 16S ribosomal RNA
Rfam family: Bacterial small subunit ribosomal RNA
Source: RNAcentral